RNAcentral lists this ribosomal RNA (368 nucleotides) under uncultured bacterium. RNAcentral's name for it is "bacterial SSU rRNA". It matches the Rfam family "Bacterial small subunit ribosomal RNA", at positions 66 to 425 of the family's 1533-position model. The record is from RNAcentral.
GCGAAAAGCAGUAAUGCUGAGUAGAGUGGCGCACGGGUGAUUAACACGUAACUGACAUGUCCUCGAGACAAGGAUAACCGUUCGAAAGGAUGGCUAAUACUUGGUAAGCCCCCGGGUUUGGACCUGAGGGAAAAGGGUCGGGAUUUUUCCAAACCGAUCGCUUGAGGAUUGGGUUGCGGCCCAUCAUCUAGUUGGCGGGGUAACGGCCCACCAAGGCUAAGACGGGUAGCUGGUCUGAUAGGAUGAUCAGCCACACUGGAACUGAUACACGGUCCAGACUCCUACGGGAGGCAGCAUUGGGGAAUCUUGCUCAAUGGGAGAAAUCCUGACGCAGCAACGCCGCGUGGGUGAUGAAGGUCUUCGGAUCG